CAAUAGCGUAUAUUAAAGUUGUUGCGGUUAAAAAGCUCGUAGUUGGAUUUCUGUUGAGAGCGACCGGUCCAUACCAUGUAUGCGUAUCUGGCUUGCUCUCGGCAUCCUCUCGAUAGACGUUACUGCGCUUGAUUGCGUGGUGCGGAUCUCGGGACUUUUACUUUGAGGAAAUUAGAGUGUUCACGGCAGGCUUUCGCCAGAAUACAUUAGCAUGGAAUAAUACUAUAGGAUCUUGGUUCUAUUUUGUUGGUUUCUAGAAUUGAGAUAAUGAUUAAUAGGGACAAUUGGGGGCAUUCGUAUCAACACGUCAGAGGUGGAAUUCUUGGAUUGUGUUGCGACGAACUACUGCGAAAGCAUUUGCCAAGGAUGUUUUCAUUGA
This 379-nucleotide ribosomal RNA is filed under the name uncultured eukaryote. RNAcentral describes it as "partial 18S ribosomal RNA". It matches the Rfam family "Eukaryotic small subunit ribosomal RNA", at positions 592 to 976 of the family's 1831-position model. The record is from RNAcentral.